This 259-nucleotide ribosomal RNA is filed under the name uncultured bacterium. RNAcentral's name for it is "partial 16S ribosomal RNA". It matches the Rfam family "Bacterial small subunit ribosomal RNA", at positions 96 to 354 of the family's 1533-position model. The record is from RNAcentral.
UGGCGGACGGGUGAGUAACGCGUGGGUAACCUGCCCCAUACAGGGGGAGUAACAGCUGGAAACGGCUGCUAAUACCGCAUAAUCCUGCGGGGCCGCAUGGCCCUGCAUGGAAAGCUUUGGCGGUAUGGGAUGGGCCCGCGUCUGAUUAGGCAGUUGGCGGGGUAACGGCCCACCAAACCGACGAUCAGUAGCCGGCCUGAGAGGGCGACCGGCCACAUUGGGACUGAGACACGGCCCAAACUCCUACGGAAGGCAGCAG